RNAcentral lists this ribosomal RNA (494 nucleotides) under uncultured bacterium. RNAcentral describes it as "partial 16S ribosomal RNA". It matches the Rfam family "Bacterial small subunit ribosomal RNA", at positions 28 to 507 of the family's 1533-position model. The record is from RNAcentral.
GACGAACGCUGGCGGCGUGCUUAACACAUGCAAGUCGAACGGAAAGGCCUGCUUUCCCUUGUGGAUUGCGGGUACUCGAGUGGCGAACGGGUGAGUAACACGUGAGUGAUCUGCCCCCAACUUGGGUAUAAGCCUGGGAAACUGGGUCUAAUUCCCGAUAGGACUGCAGGGUGGUGCCUGUGGUGGAAAACGAUUUUCUAGUGGUUGGGGAUGAGCUCGCGGCCUAUCAGCUUGUUGGUGGGGUAAUGGCCUACCAAGGCGGCGACGGGUAGCCGGCCUGGGAUGGUGGACGGCCACAGUGGGACUGCGACACGGCCCAGACUCCUACGGGAGGCAGCAGUGGGGAAUAUUGCACAAUGGGCGGAAGCCUGAUGCAGCGACGCCGCGUGGGGGAUGACGGCCUUCGGGUUGUAAACUCCUUUCGACCGCGAGGAAGCCACCUGGUUGGAAGGGUGGUGACGGUAGUGGUAGAAGAAGCACCGGCUAACUACGUG